RNAcentral lists this ribosomal RNA (497 nucleotides) under uncultured bacterium. RNAcentral describes it as "partial 16S ribosomal RNA". It matches the Rfam family "Bacterial small subunit ribosomal RNA", at positions 28 to 507 of the family's 1533-position model. The record is from RNAcentral.
GAUGAACGCUGGCGGCGUGCCUAAUACAUGCAAGUCGAGCGAACAGACGAGGAGUUUGCUCCUCUGACGUUAGCGGCGGACGGGUGAGUAACACGUGGAAAACCUACCUAUAAGACUGGGAUAACUUCGGGAAACCGGAGCUAAUACCGGAUAAUAUUUUGAACCGCAUGGUUCAAUAGAGAAAGACGGUUUUGCGGUCACUUAUACAUGGAUCCGCGCCGCAUUAGCUAGUUGGUAAGGUAACGGCUUACCAAGGCAACGAUGCGUAGCCGACCUGAGAGGGUGAUCGGCCACACUGGAACUGAGACACGGUCCAGACUCCUACGGGAGGCAGCAGUAGGGAAUCUUCCGCAAUGGGCGAAAGCUUGACGGAGCAACGCCGCGUGAGUGAUGAAGGUCUUCGGAUCGUAAAACUCUGUUAUUAGGGAAGAACAAAUGUGUAAGUAACUAUGCACGUCUUGACGGUACCUAAUCAGAAAGCCACGGCUAACUACGUG